AUCAAAAACAUGGUUUUUUGAAUAAGAUUUAAGAUCAGAUCUGCUCUAUGAGGAUUUAAAUGGCUGCGGUAUUCCUGACUGUACUAAGGUAGCAUAAUAAAUAGUUUAUUAAUUGUGAACUGGAAUGAAUGAUUUAAUAAGAUAUAAACUGUAUCAAUUUAAAUUUUAAAAUUUUAUUUUUAAGUAAAAAAGCUUAAAUGAAUUUGGGGGACGAGAAGACCCUAUAGAUUUUUAUAAUGGAUUAAAAGUUAAAUUUAUUUUUUUUUUAUUUUUGAGUAUAUUAUUUGGAUGGGGAAUCCUAGAAAUUGGGGAAAAUUUUUUAAUUUUGAACAUUUUAGAUGAAUUUAAAGAAUAAGGAGAUUUAUUGAAGAUAAAGAUACCUUAGGGAUAACAGCAUAAUAUAAUUAUUUAGAUCUUAUAAAUAAUAGUGAUUGUGACCUCGAUGUUG
RNAcentral lists this ribosomal RNA (448 nucleotides) under Evaniella sp. DERV045. RNAcentral describes it as "partial 16S ribosomal RNA". The record is from RNAcentral. Lineage: Eukaryota; Metazoa; Arthropoda; Insecta; Hymenoptera; Evaniidae.